This 687-nucleotide ribosomal RNA is filed under the name Triticum aestivum (bread wheat). RNAcentral describes it as "partial small subunit ribosomal RNA". Lineage: Eukaryota; Viridiplantae; Streptophyta; Magnoliopsida; Poales; Poaceae. The record is from RNAcentral.
AUGGUGCGGGGGAAGACGGAGAUGAAGCGGAUAGAGAACGAGACGAGCCGGCAGGUGACCUUCUCCAAGCGCAGGAACGGGCUGCUCAAGAAGGCCUUCGAGCUCUCCGUGCUCUGCGACGUCGAGGUCGCGCUCGCCGUCUUCUGCCCUCGUGGCAGGCUCUACGAGUUCUCCAGCGCCACCAGCUUGCAGAAAUCGAUUGACCGCUAUAAGUCUUAUAGGAAGGAUAAUAAUGUUAAUAACAAGACAGUACAGCCAGAUAUACAGCAAGUCAAAGCCGAUACUGUAAGCUUGGCAAAGAAACUUGAAGCUCUUGAAGUUUCGAAGCUAAAGAUCUUGGGUGAGAAUUUAGGAGGGUGCUCUGCUGAAGAACUGAACUGUCUGGAAGUAAAUAUUGAGAAGAGUCUCCGCAUCAUCAGAGGAAAGAAGACCCAGGUGCUCGAACAGCAGAUAGCUAACCUGAAAGAAAAGGAGAGGACGCUUCUCAAAGACAACGAAGACUUGCGUGGAAAGCAGCGCGACCUUGAGGCUUCGCUGGUGGUUCCUGCCCUGAACUGCGUCACGCCCCUGCAGCCACGUGGCCAGCUGGCACCAGAGCAGGAACCGGUACCGAGCGACGAGGACGUGGAGACGGAGCUCUACAUUGGGUUGCCCGGGGUUCGCUGCUCCAACCGGCGGUCAGGUUAA